AUGGUCCCAUAUGUUCUUCAGUGUUGUUACAUAUCCGAAAAUUGUUUUGGCACCAUUGCUGGAAGUUUAGCUAUCAUGGAUCCCAGCUAUCAUGGAUUUUAUUGGAGCCCCGCUAUAAUGGAUUUUCCUAAAUUUUGGCGCACCAUGUCUGGAAGUUUAGCUACAAGGGGGAAAUUUUUUGAGGUAUGUACAACAUUUUGCUUGUAUGAAAAUAAUUUAUGCUUCCUUUUACGUACUGGAGACUACAAACUCUCAGUAUAUGGGCCUUGUUAUUGUGCAUUCAUCGAUUGCUUGUAUUAA
RNAcentral lists this ribosomal RNA (300 nucleotides) under Triticum aestivum (bread wheat). Its description in RNAcentral is "partial small subunit ribosomal RNA". Lineage: Eukaryota; Viridiplantae; Streptophyta; Magnoliopsida; Poales; Poaceae. The record is from RNAcentral.